RNAcentral lists this ribosomal RNA (390 nucleotides) under uncultured bacterium. RNAcentral's name for it is "bacterial SSU rRNA". It matches the Rfam family "Bacterial small subunit ribosomal RNA", at positions 419 to 793 of the family's 1533-position model. The record is from RNAcentral.
CGGGUUGUAAAGCACUUUCAGUAGGGAGGAAGGUAGUGUAGUUAACACCUGCACAUUUGACGUUACCUACAGAAGAAGCACCGGCUAACUCCGUGCCAGCAGCCGCGGUAAUACGGAGGGUGCGAGCGUUAAUCGGAAUUACUGGGCGUAAAGCGCAUGCAGGCGGCCUGUUAAGUCAGAUGUGAAAGACCCGGGGCGUUAACCUCGGAAUUGCAUUUGUAAACUAGGCAGGCUAGAGUCUUGUAGAGGGGGGUAGGAAUUUCAGGUGUAGCGGUGAAAUAGCGUAGAGAUCUGAAGGAAUACCAGUGGCGAAGGCGGCCCCCCUCGGACAAAGACUGACGCUCAGAUGCGAAAGCGUGGGGAGCAAACAGGAUUAGAUACCCCUGGUAG